Long non-coding RNA from Amblyraja radiata (thorny skate), 657 nucleotides. RefSeq lists it as uncharacterized. NCBI's taxonomy places the organism in Eukaryota, Metazoa, Chordata, Chondrichthyes, Rajiformes, Rajidae. The record is from RefSeq and is a predicted model, not a curated record. The transcript has 4 exons.
UUAUGUUUCUCUUCACGUCUCUUUUUUUUCGCUCCACAGCAAAUUACCAAUUCUAUGAAUUGCAGAAUAGCAUUCAGUGCAGGUCUCCCCGCUGCAGGGGAAGUCUCUUAUAAACACAAGCACGUUCUUUAAUGUUAAUUUAGGGCAUUUUAAUGUUAGAUCGUACUUUGCAAGGCACCAUAACUCUAGACCCACAUGCACGUUUUACAUCGCCCUUAAUUCCCAUUAGUCCCGCAAAUCUCACCGUGGAUGCAUCUAUCCCUCUUAUUUAGUGCGUUUCUUUGCUUUGCAAGUUUUCUUCACACAGUGGACUCUCAUUACGAAACUGAGCGCUUGGGAAAGAUGCCAUCAAAGCCCCACUGCCAGCUGUUGGAGGCUGCCAGGUACAUUCAGGGAUAGAUCCUCCUUGCCGUUUUAUCCCAAUUGAGGCCAGACUGCUGGAUUCCAGGAACUGAGGGCCCUUCACAUCUGGACAAGGAGGUACAGUGACUGGGCCAGCACAAUCUGGCCCAUUGAAUAUGAACUAAUUCUACAGGACACAGUAGUAACAGUGGGCUGAGGCUGCAUCGCAGGAGGACAUGGAUAGGUCAUGCUUCAGGCCCCCUUUAUUCAUGGCUGACCAUGGGUGUCUCCAGGGUUGGACGCCAGUGCGUGACU